UACGGGGGGAGCAAGCGUUGUUCGGAUUUACUGGGCGUAAAGGGCGCGUAGGCGGCGUGACAAGUCACUUGUGAAAUCUCCGGGCUUAACUCGGAACGGUCAAGUGAUACUGUCGUGCUAGAGUACAGAAGGGGCAACUGGAAUUCCCAGUGUAGUGGUGAAAUUCGUAGAUAUUCGGAAGAACACCAGUGGCGAAGGCGGCUCACUGGUCCGGUACUGACGCUGAGGUGCGAAAGCGUGGGGAGCAAACAGG
RNAcentral lists this ribosomal RNA (253 nucleotides) under uncultured bacterium. RNAcentral's name for it is "partial 16S ribosomal RNA". It matches the Rfam family "Bacterial small subunit ribosomal RNA", at positions 524 to 776 of the family's 1533-position model. The record is from RNAcentral.